This 666-nucleotide ribosomal RNA is filed under the name uncultured Bacilli bacterium. RNAcentral describes it as "bacterial SSU rRNA". It matches the Rfam family "Bacterial small subunit ribosomal RNA", at positions 84 to 738 of the family's 1533-position model. Lineage: Bacteria; Bacillati; Bacillota; Bacilli. The record is from RNAcentral.
UCUCUGGAUGAGUUGCGAACGGGUGAGUAACGCGUAGGUAACCUGCCUGGUAGCGGGGGAUAACUAUUGGAAACGAUAGCUAAUACCGCAUAAUAGUAGAUGUUGCAUGACAUUUGCUUAAAAGGUGCAAUUGCAUCACUACCAGAUGGACCUGCGUUGUGUUAGCUAGUUGGUGGGGUAACGGCUCACCAAGGCGACGAUACAUAGCCGACCUGAGAGGGUGAUCGGCCACACUGGGACUGAGACACGGCCCAGACUCCUACGGGAGGCAGCAGUAGGGAAUCUUCGGCAAUGGACGGAAGUCUGACCGAGCAACGCCGCGUGAGUGAAGAAGGUUUUCGGAUCGUAAAGCUCUGUUGUAAGAGAAGAACGAGUGUGAGAGUGGAAAGUUCACACUGUGACGGUAUCUUACCAGAAAGGGACGGCUAACUACGUGCCAGCAGCCGCGGUAAUACGUAGGUCCCGAGCGUUGUCCGGAUUUAUUGGGCGUAAAGCGAGCGCAGGCGGUUAGAUAAGUCUGAAGUUAAAGGCUGUGGCUUAACCAUAGUACGCUUUGGAAACUGUUUAACUUGAGUGCAAGAGGGGAGAGUGGAAUUCCAUGUGUAGCGGUGAAAUGCGUAGAUAUAUGGAGGAACACCGGUGGCGAAAGCGGCUCUCUGGCUUGUA